This is an RNA transcript of Ictalurus punctatus (channel catfish), 5920 nucleotides long. RefSeq lists it as uncharacterized. Lineage: Eukaryota; Metazoa; Chordata; Actinopteri; Siluriformes; Ictaluridae. The record is from RefSeq and is a predicted model, not a curated record. The transcript is spliced from 7 exons.
UUCUCUCUCUCCCUCCCUCUCUCUCUCAGGUGUGUAAUCUCCCUCCAUUUGCAUUCCUCUACUAUAAACAGCUCCAGUCUCUCUUCAGACACUGUGGUUAAAUCAAAUCCAUCUCCUUUGACAGCUCCAGGGCCUAUGUAGAGUUCUACCGCUCGUCAAUGAGAGGUUCUGGCGUUCUCCCAGAGGUCUCUCUGUCUCUCCUCCUCACGCAGCAGAGACUUCCUCUACAUCUCAACGUUUAACCCGCUGGAGAGGUGGAGACUUGGGCAGGGGGGUAGUGUAUCUCACACCUCAGAUAUACACGGUACACACACACACACUCUGCAGCGAGCAUCAUCAGAUGAGUCAUGGUUACAUUUUAAGUGAGAGUAGUCAUGUGACCACAUCCCCUAGACAGUGUGAUGUUUAGAUGAUGUUCUGUACAUUAGUGCUGUUCUGUUACAGGUCUCUCUCUCUGUGUCUCUCUCACUCACUGUGUGUGUGUGUCUCUCUCAGGGUGAAUGUGGAUUUUCAGAAUCAGUCAGUUAGCCCUGUCAGGGUUCUGAGCAGCUCCAUUGAGUUGGAGAAUCUUCCGUCUAACCCUGUCUUUAUCGUCAAUAUCACAGAGGUGUCUGUUCCGCCUCUCACUUUCAGUGCACAAAUAAAAAAAAGCAGUGGCUCCUGUGUGUGUGUGUGUGUGUGUGUGUGUGUGUGUGCGCACUAACAGGAGGUCCAGGUGCAGCCUUUGGAUAUUGAUGAAGAUUUACUGCCCCUGCAAGACCUUCCUCAACUGCGUAGUCUGGAGCAAAGGAUGCAACAGAGCCCAGAUUACAAGCAAAAUCUGGUAAACUGGUUGGCGCUUAUUGACGGGGUGUAUGUGCGUGACUGCACCUGGCGCAUAUUGAAGAGGGUGAUUGCUAACUCCCUGGAAAAGAAUCUCAAUUGGAGGGGAGUCAAUGGAAAGACUUCACUGUCCGCUCUCCAACUCGGAGAGGUCGUGAUUGGAGACGCACCUACGUCUUAAAGUAUUAAAGAUCAUCAAAGGUUACUCUGCCCUUGGCUGCAGUUCAUAGAAACCUCUUCACGGCUAAAGCUGCAGAGAUGGAGGUCGAGGGGACCAUGAAGAGGCGGCUCCAGCUGGCAUCAGAGCGAGAGUGUGGGCGCAAGAGCAGACUUUUGAUAAAGGAGGGUAUUUACAGUGUUUUAACUGCUGUGUUUUUUGCGCUAUUUAUUAAUUUGUUAAAAUGUUCAUAUUAUAGUCUAUUUUUAAUUGUUUAUAAAAGUCCUUGCUGUUUUUAAGUGGCUGAAUUAGUGUGUGUGUGCGCGCGUGUGUGUUGGUAGCUGGGUGGGUAUAUAGUUCUGGUCGGAAGUUGACAUACCCAUUGCAGGAGAAAGAGACCCUGUGUAAUCUGUUUAAACGACUUUUACGCAUGUUUUGCAGAGAGAUCAUUUUCACCUUGCUGUUUGGGUCUCUGUCCCACACUGUUACAGUGCAGUAUUGAGAGCGCGAGGGAGAUCGAUUUUCUAUCAGAAACAGUAACUAUAUAAAAUGGACGUCAACACACACCACUCUGUGAGGUCAUUUCUCGCUCUCAACAGAGUAGUUGUGAUUGUUCAGUGUUUACGACGGGGCCAAAACAUUCAAGGCCAUGGUGUAUUUUGACUGUUCCUGUAGCAUAAUCUCACCAAACUGUGUGUACACGAGUCCACAGACACGGAGUCUAUUCACAGUUCCAUGCUGUGUAGAUGUUCUGCUCAUCCUCACUGUACCGUAAAGGUCAGAACCUCACAUCUGUAACCUUGUAGCUUUCCUUAAUAAACACGACUGCGACCAAGCUUGUGUAGCACUACUAUUUUUAGAUCUCCGCCUCUCAAAAGUAUUGGCACCCUGCGCGUCCGCCUCUCAAAUCUUUUGGCGCCCUACGUGGCCAGCUCUCAAAUCUGUUGACGCCCUAUGCGUCCGGCUGUCAAAUCUAUUGGUGCCCUAUGCGUCCAGCUCUCAAAACUAUUGGCGCCCUUCACGGGCAGUUCUCAAAAGUAUUGGCACCCGAUCUGAAUUUUGCCACGGCAAGCACCACUCACAUUUUCUUCAGGAAAUGUACCUUAAAAUAAUAAAAAGUCUCUCACUAGGCUGUGUGUCGAGAUAAACGUGAAAACAUCUUGAGCUUGUGUUCACCACAGACCUUAUUUCCGGCAUUUAACCCAAAACCCCAUUGACGGAAGUGCUAAUACGCUGAAUCGUUUCUGGGUUUCACGACUCAUUCCUGCAGCACUCUGUAAGACGGGCUGUUGUUAUCAAACCAUCGAAGUAAGAUAAGCGGCUUUGGUAAUGAUUCUUUAAAUGAACCGAUUCAGAAUCCUCUUCUUGAAUCGUUUGAGUCGUUCUCACUCGGUCAGGGUUGCACGUGUGGGUUGCUUUUCCUGCACGUGUUCACAGACCGUAAAUCCCGACCCCAUGGUAGACACUCGACAGAAAUUUCAUACUAAAGUAAGUAUUUUAGAUUUUCUGGGUCUAAACAGAGCAGAAGUAUUGCUAACAUGUUGUACAGAUUCUAUUGGACUGGUGAACUGUGUGGAUUUGUAUAUUUAACCCAGUUUAAUAUGGCCUGCUUUGUUCAGUCAGAGACAAGUAAAUCUGUUCUAAUGUUCAUUUAUUUUCCAUAGAUAAAACACGUUUGUUUACACAUGAAUACGUACUUUAUGCUUUCAGAAUGGUGGAGAUUUGGCUCUUAACUAUGGUUAAGUGGGGGGUACUAUAAAAUGCACAGUUCUGAGACACUAUAUACCUAUACUGUGAAAUCAGUACAUGUGUGUGUUUAGAAUGAUUAUAGCUUUUGGGGAAAAAACUAUUCUUGAAUCUAUUAGUCCUUGUUCUGAUGCACCUGUAACGUCUCCCUGAGGGCAACAGAUCAGAGCCAGGGUGAGAGCUGUCCUCAAUGAUGGUUUUUCCUCUGCUGAGGCAACGGGGGGUGUAAAUAUCCAUCAGGGAGGUGUUGUGGAUAAAAAAUGUCAUAAAAUAAACAUAAGGGAGACCUAGCAUCCAGCAAAGGGGAGAAGAAGAAAAGAUGGGCACCUAGACACAUAGAAGCGGGAUUAGGCGGACAUUGACAAAUUGGAAUUACACUUUAAAGAUCUUUAAGAGCAGUAGUAGUCAAAAAAGUCAAAAAGAGGUAUACGAGCUGAGCUGAGGAGUGCUAAUACACACACACACACACGCUCGUACAGUCAAGGGCGGGCAAGUAGACACAACAUACACACACACUCUCUCGCUCUCAUACACACACAUGAAUAACUUUAAUAAUCUUAUUGUAAUAGAGAAACUCUCUAUAAAAAAACAGAAUAGUAGGAUAUGCAGGACAGUAUAGAGGAUAUGCAGGAGCUUAAGCUCAUCACUUCUGAGAAUUCUCAUCGGUGUGGAUCUCGUGUGGUGGAACGGAACAAUAAAUCUGGACCCUUGCUUCUUCUCACUCACGGCUGGUGUCUUUUUUUCUAUCUCCAACUGGGCUCAGAGGUAGAUGUGAGUGUUGGCUUCUAUGUUGAAUUUUAAGUGUUUUUGGGUAAUAGGCUAUAUUUGAGCCAACAGAGGGGAGAGGUAAUAAAUGAACUUAUAAAUGUGAUUACUUGAUGACCGUAGACAGAACUCUAUAAAUGUGAAAUGUUUUGUUGAAGUUCAGAUGAAUCUCCGAUGUACAGAAUCUUCAACAGAGUUCUGCAGAAAGAUUUUGAAUGCCUGUCAUUCACCAGAACAAAUUUGCAGUUGAACAGUCUGUCUAAAAGAAAAAAUCUAAACACACAAUAUAAAAUUCCUGCAGUGUGAAUAAAGCCUUUGUGUUGCUUUUAGCAAACAUGUCUAGUACUCUCGGUUCAAUGUACACAAUUUACCCCAUUUAAAUGCAUUUUGGAAAUUGUUCCACAUGGCCACAGUGUGAAUAUUCACUGUAUGCCAAAUAAGUAAUCAAAGAAUGGAAUGGAUUUUUUCUUCUCUAAUGGACCAUUAAUCACAAUUAUAAAAGAUGAUGCAUCAGGUACAAAGUAUCAGGGUUUUUUCCCCCUCUUUUUCCCACAAUAGUUGCAUGAUUUUUGCUACACCCUUUCCACCGUGUGUGUGUGUGUGUGUGUGUGUGUGUGUGUGUGUGUGUGUGUGUGUGUGCGGGCGCUACGAAUCACUUUGAGGUAAAAAUAUUUUAAGGCAGCCACUUUCACCUUCCUACAACAAUUGGUGACUGGUCUGAGGUGAAGCUUCUUGUCAUGUUACUGUGGUCAUGGAUCACAUUGUGGGGAUCUCUGUAAUGUAACCGUUUCUGUAAUUAUCCUUACUUGCCUUUGCGCUUUUGUGCUUCUGUGUCUUCUGUUGGUGCUUUAUUCUGCUUUUUAGGGCCCGAGCACCGCUGCUGCAAAACCCUAUUGGAUCUGCUGUUUAUUAUUGGGGCAGAGCACCGAAGGUGCAGCGCUUCCAGUGACCACCGGAGGGCGCAUGCACCGGAUGUGCAGGGCCCUAUUGAUUUUCUGGUGUUUAUUGUUUAUUUCAUGCAUUCUUGUCGUUUUUAAGGACCUAAACAUGGCUGAAAACUCCCAAAACUCGGUAGACGCGCCAGCACCAGUGAAAAUGUAACUUACAUUGGGCAUGGGCAUGGUCGAGGAGCUCCUUAGCACCCCUGAAUGCAGACAAAGAUAUCAGUUAGAUUCAGCUUCGGACACAAGUUCCAGGUACUGAUCGAGAAGGAGUGGAUCAGCUUCGGACACAAGCUGGCCUCGCGUGUCGGCCUUGGAGAUGAGAAUCACGCCAACUCGGAACGAUCCCCUCUCUUUGUGCAGUUCAUCGACUGUGUGUGGCAGAUGAUGAGACAGGUCAGCUACUGAUGCUUUACACCACAACACUGUUGAAUUCUCCAAUCUGAUUGGUCAGAAGGUGUUGGAGACAUUUCUGUAACAGCAAGAUUCUGAUUCCAGCUGCAAGGGAAAUUACAGCUUUAUAGUGAUGUGCUCGUUCCUAUAGUAACAGCUCAUUGACAGGGUCUAGUAUGGCGUACGCAAUACAUAUUCUAAGCUUAAUCGUAAACAUAUUAUAAACAUGUCACUUAAAGAAAAAGACGUAUGAUCAUUGUGAUCUAGUUAAGAUUUAUAAGUUAUCUAUUUAUGGAAGUUUUAUGGAAGUAGUCUCCAGUGUCACGGCAGAGAGGACAUUGCACUUUCCAGUUUCUCAGUAACAUUGCAAGUCUUAUUCAUUUCAAGAGUUAGGGGGAAAAAAGAGAGGCUUGUGAGGGAACUAUUGUUUUAUUUUAAUGUUAUAAAGUAAGAGAUCAUAAUGAGAACUAACUCUCUUUUCCAGGACAUUCCAAAUUGUUCUUUGGCUAUGCCCCAUGUUUGUGCAAUAUUUCAGACCGGUUUUUCCUCUUUUCGCAGCUUCAAAAUGGCUUGCUUUUCUCCCAUAGACAGCUCUCUGGUCUUCAUGUCAGUUUAUUCUUUUUAACAACAAAUGCUGUCUCCACAGGUGAAACCCAGGGCUCAAACCAAGAGAAGACAUUCAGAGCUAUUCAUUCUUUAAAGUCCAUUUAACGAGGUACACCUGGCCAGCAAGAAAAAAACAUCAGUCACUCGUUCCAGUAUUUUUGAACAGUUAAUGAAUAGGAUGGCUUCAAAAAAGCUGCCAUAUUUUAAGCUGUGUAACACGUCUAGAUGUAAAUAUGAGGAAAUGAAAGCUGAAAUUCUGAUCUAUCGUCUCAUAUUCGUCUUUUAUCUCAAACCCAAAUGUCUUCAGUAUACAGCAAAAGCAAGUGAAUUGGCCUUGAUGUUCCAAUACUUUUGAAGAGGACUCUAAUUGUAAGAAUUAAAUAUAAUUUCCGUACUGAACAAAGACUGAUUAUCUGUUCAGGCGUUAUUGUGCAGAUCCACAUUUAAGCAUCUUACUAUACACUGUUAAACCCAGUGUUUGUGUUCUUUC